CCUACGGGAGGCAGCAGUGGGGAAUUUUGCGCAAUGCUCGUAAGAGUGACGCAGUGACGCCGCGUGAAUGACGAAGGCCUUCGGGUCGUAAAGUUCUUUCGACAGGGAAGAAAAUGCCUAUAAGUAACUGUGUAUGUAUUGACGGUACCUGUAUAAGCAGCCCCGGCUAACUCCGUGCCAGCAGCCGCGGUAAUACGGAGGGGGCGAGCGUUGUUCGGAGGGACUGGGCGUAAAGAGCACGUAGGCGGUGUUGUAAGUCAUUAGUCAAAGACUAGAGCUCAACUUUAGUAAGGCUAGUGAUACUAUAAUACUAGAGUAUCAGAGAGGAUUGCAGAAUUCCUGGUGUAGCGGUGAAAUGCGUAGAUAUCAGGAGGAAUACCGUUAGCGAAGGCGGCAAUCUGGCUGGAAACUGACGCUGAGGUGCGAAAGCGUGGGUAGCAAACAGGAUUAGAUACCCCUGUAGUC
Molecule: ribosomal RNA, 465 nt
Filed under: uncultured bacterium
Lineage: Bacteria
Description: partial 16S ribosomal RNA
Rfam family: Bacterial small subunit ribosomal RNA
Source: RNAcentral